GCGCACACAACUGCAGCAGCUGCAGGGCCUGCAGACGGAGCUUCUUGAUCUUCGACAGGAGAAGAAACAGCUCCAGCAGCUGUGCGAGGAGCAGGAACAGGCUCUACAGGACAUGGGCCUUCAUCUCAGCCAAUCCAAACUCAAGAUGGAGGACUUCAAAGAGGUCAACAAAGCCUUGAAGGGUCAUGCCUGGCUAAAAGACGAUGAAGCUACACAGUGCAAGCAGUGCCAAAA
Molecule: long non-coding RNA, 234 nt
Organism: Sinocyclocheilus anshuiensis
Lineage: Eukaryota; Metazoa; Chordata; Actinopteri; Cypriniformes; Cyprinidae
Exons: 4
Source: RefSeq, a predicted model, not a curated record